Molecule: ribosomal RNA, 405 nt
Filed under: uncultured bacterium
Lineage: Bacteria
Description: bacterial SSU rRNA
Rfam family: Bacterial small subunit ribosomal RNA
Source: RNAcentral
UGGGGAAUCUUGCGCAAUGGGCGAAAGCCUGACGCAGCAACGCCGCGUGCGGGAUGAAGGCCCUCGGGUUGUAAACCGCUUUCAGCAGGGACGAAAAUGACGGUACCUGCAGAAGAAGCCCCGGCCAACUACGUGCCAGCAGCCGCGGUAACACGUAGGGGGCAAGCGUUGUCCGGAUUUAUUGGGCGUAAAGAGCUCGUAGGCGGUUCCGUCAGUCGGGUGUGAAAACUCUGGGCUCAACCCAGAGACGCCACCCGAUACUGCGGUGACUAGAGUCCGGUAGGGGAGCGUGGAAUUCCUGGUGUAGCGGUGAAAUGCGCAGAUAUCAGGAGGAACACCAACGGCGAAGGCAGCGCUCUGGGCCGGCACUGACGCUGAGGAGCGAAAGCGUGGGUAGCGAACAGG